RNAcentral lists this ribosomal RNA (465 nucleotides) under uncultured bacterium. RNAcentral describes it as "partial 16S ribosomal RNA". It matches the Rfam family "Bacterial small subunit ribosomal RNA", at positions 28 to 507 of the family's 1533-position model. The record is from RNAcentral.
GACGAACGCUGGCGGCGUGCUUAACACAUGCAAGUCGUACGGUAAGGCCCUUUCGGGGGUACACGAGUGGCGAGCGGGUGAGUAACACGUGAGUAACCUGCCCACAACUUUGGGAUAACGCUAGGAAACUGGUGCUAAUACUGGAUAUGUGCUCCUGCUGCAUGGUGGGGGUUGGAAAGCUCCGGCGGUUGUGGAUGGACUCGCGGCCUAUCAGCUUGUUGGUGGGGUAGUGGCCUACCAAGGCGGCGACGGGUAGCCGGCCUGAGAGGGUGACCGGCCACAUUGGGACUGAGAUACGGCCCAGACUCCUACGGGAGGCAGCGGUGGGGAAUAUUGCACAAUGGGCGCAAGCCUGAUGCAGCAACGCCGCGUGCGGGAUGACGGCCUUCGGGUUGUAAACCGCUUUCAGCAGGGACGAAGCUUUUUGUGACGGUACCUGCAGAAGAAGCACCGGCUAACUACGUG